Molecule: long non-coding RNA, 740 nt
Organism: Dermochelys coriacea (leatherback sea turtle)
Lineage: Eukaryota; Metazoa; Chordata; Testudines; Dermochelyidae
Exons: 3
Source: RefSeq, a predicted model, not a curated record
CCCGGAGUGGUGUGUCCUCUGCAGCAGAAGGUUCGAUCCAGGAGGAUGACUCCAAGUGAGGAAUUGCUGAGGAGCCCUAGCUGGAGGAGAAACUGGCAGAGGUGGACCUGAGCAGCUUGGACAUUGUUCUAAGCAGACGUGAACAGUCCUCUGCUUUCUGCCUCCCGGUCAACUGGCUGUGAGUAAGCGUACCAAGGGAAAAGAAGUCGCAUGCCGGAGUCUACUGCCCUCGUGAUAGAAAGCGAGUGACAGUGACAAGACCGCGAGUAUUGUUGAUGCCAUGCAAAAGCCAUCCAACUGGGAGCAGAACCGCUGCCACUCUGUGAGAUAAGUGUCUGUUUUGGUGAUUGCUCUGCUCAUGGCCCACCUGGCUCCAGGUAUGGACGCUCCUUUAGCUAAGGCUGGGUUUGUAAGAAAAUGUUCCUGAUUAGCUGUGGUUAUGAGGGAGACAGGGUCCCCAUUUUCAGGAGCUGCUCAUUUCUCGUGCAAGGAUCAGUGUGUCCUCCACAGGAGAAGGUUGCAUCUAGGAGGAUGACUUCAGGUGUUGAGUUGCUUGCCUUCUUCCCAUGUGUUUCUCUUUCUUUCUCUCUAGUCUAGUGUGUUGGCCAACUCUCUCUCCUCUCGUCUCCUCGUGCCGUCUCCCUUCUUAGGACGCAGGCAGGGGUACUAGGUUAGCAUCCCAACAGGUUAGGUCUCGGGAGCCCUGGAGAAGUCGGAGCAGAUGAAAAUCAUGUGUGGCA